GCAUUGGUGGUUCAGUGGUAGGAUUCUCACCUUCCAUAUGGGAUACCUGGGUUUGACUUCCAGCCAGUGCA
RNAcentral lists this transfer RNA (71 nucleotides) under Loxodonta africana (African savanna elephant). It matches the Rfam family "tRNA". From Rfam's summary of the family: Transfer RNA (tRNA) molecules are approximately 80 nucleotides in length. Their secondary structure includes four short double-helical elements and three loops (D, anti-codon, and T loops). Further hydrogen bonds mediate the characteristic L-shaped molecular structure. tRNAs have two regions of fundamental functional importance: the anti-codon, which is responsible for specific mRNA codon recognition, and the 3' end, to which the tRNAs corresponding amino acid is attached (by aminoacyl-tRNA synthetases). tRNAs cope with the degeneracy of the genetic code in two manners: having more than one tRNA (with a specific anti-codon) for a particular amino acid; and 'wobble' base-pairing, i.e. permitting non-standard base-pairing at the 3rd anti-codon position. The record is from Rfam by way of RNAcentral. Lineage: Eukaryota; Metazoa; Chordata; Mammalia; Proboscidea; Elephantidae.